GACGAACGCUGGCGGCGUGCUUAACACAUGCAAGUCGAGCGGUAAGGCCCUUUCGGGGGUACACGAGCGGCGAACGGGUGAGUAACACGUGGGUGACCUGCCCUCAGCUCUGGGAUAAGCCUGGGAAACUGGGUCUAAUACUGGAUAUGACUCCACGGUGCAUGUCGUGGGGUGGAAAGCCUUGUGCGGCUGAGGAUGGGCCCGCGGCCUAUCAGCUUGUUGGUGGGGUGANGGGCCUACCAAGGCGACGACGGGUAGCCGGCCUGAGAGGGCGACCGGCCACACUGGGACUGAGACACGGCCCAGACUCCUACGGGAGGCAGCAGUGGGGAAUCUUGCGCAAUGGGCGAAAGCCUGACGCAGCGACGCCGCGUGAGGGAUGACGGCCUGGUGUAA
This 396-nucleotide ribosomal RNA is filed under the name uncultured bacterium. Its description in RNAcentral is "bacterial SSU rRNA". It matches the Rfam family "Bacterial small subunit ribosomal RNA", at positions 28 to 428 of the family's 1533-position model. The record is from RNAcentral.